GAUGAAGAACGUAGCGAAAUGCGAUACGUAAUGUGAAUUGCAGAAUUCAGUGAAUCAUCGAGUCUUUGAACGCACAUUGCGCCCCCUGGUAUUCCGGGGGGCAUGCCUGUCCGAGCGUCAUUGCUGCCCUCAAGCACGGCUUGUGUGUUGGGCCUCCGUCCUCCUCCCGGGGGACGGGCCCGAAAGGCAGCGGCGGCACCGCGUCCGGUCCUCGAGCGUAUGGGGCUUCGUCACCCGCUCUUGUAGGCCCGGUCGGCGCUUGCCGACACAUCAAUCUUUUUUCCAGGUUGACCUCGGAUCAGGUAGGGAUACACGCUGAACUUAAGCAUAUCAAUAAGCGGAGGA
Molecule: unclassified non-coding RNA, 345 nt
Filed under: soil metagenome
Description: partial contains 5.8S ribosomal RNA, internal transcribed spacer 2, and large subunit ribosomal RNA
Rfam family: 5.8S ribosomal RNA (bases 1-120)
Source: RNAcentral